CUAGUACGAGAGGACCGGAGUGGACGAACCUCUGGUGUUCGGGUUGUGUCGCCAGACGCAUUGCCCGGUAGCUAAGUUCGGAAUCGAUAACCGCUGAAAGCAUCUAAGCGGGAAGCGAGCCCUGAGAUGAGUCUUCCCUGAUACUUUAAGUAUCCUAAAGGGUUGUCGGAGACUACGACGUUGAUAGGUCAGGUGUGUAAGUGCUGUGAGGCAUUGAGCUAACUGAUACUAAUUGCCCGUGAGGCUUAACCAUACAACACCCAAGGGGUUU
Molecule: ribosomal RNA, 271 nt
Filed under: Vibrio parahaemolyticus
Lineage: Bacteria; Pseudomonadati; Pseudomonadota; Gammaproteobacteria; Vibrionales; Vibrionaceae
Description: partial 23S ribosomal RNA
Rfam family: Bacterial large subunit ribosomal RNA
Source: RNAcentral